GAUGAACGCUGGCGGCGUGCCUAAUACAUGCAAGUCGAGCGAACAGAUAAGGAGCUUGCUCCUUUGACGUUAGCGGCGGACGGGUGAGUAACACGUGGGUAACCUACCUAUAAGACUGGGAUAACUUCGGGAAACCGGAGCUAAUACCGGAUAACAUUUGGAACCGCAUGGUUCUAAAGUGAAAGAUGGUUUUGCUAUCACUUAUAGAUGGACCCGCGCCGUAUUAGCUAGUUGGUAAGGUAACGGCUUACCAAGGCGACGAUACGUAGCCGACCUGAGAGGGUGAUCGGCCACACUGGAACUGAGACACGGUCCAGACUCCUACGGGAGGCAGCAGUAGGGAAUCUUCCGCAAUAGGCGAAAGCCUGACGGAGCAACGCCGCGUGAGUGAUGAAGGGUUUCGGCUCGUAAAACUCUGUUAUUAGGGAAGAACAAAUGUGUAAGUAACUGUGCACGUCUUGACGGUACCUAAUCAGAAAGCCUCGGCUAACUACGUG
This 497-nucleotide ribosomal RNA is filed under the name uncultured bacterium. RNAcentral's name for it is "partial 16S ribosomal RNA". It matches the Rfam family "Bacterial small subunit ribosomal RNA", at positions 28 to 507 of the family's 1533-position model. The record is from RNAcentral.